CGACCCGGGCAGCUUGGACAACGCAGUCGGCCAAAGCAGUCCCGGCCGCCGCAGGUUUUUUAGCCCCCGUCCCCUAACUAAGGAUUAUUUGUUGUAACUGGGAAUGGUGUGCAAAGUAUUGAUUUAAAUCCUCCUUCGACUGAGUUGCUUACGCGAUUCCGUGUAAUUGAGUGACCGGAGUUUCAAACUCUUAACAAGAAAUCAUUAUGUCGCAGAAGAUUGCAUAAAGUCCGUGAGAAAACC
Molecule: non-coding RNA, 243 nt
Organism: Lonchura striata (white-rumped munia)
Lineage: Eukaryota; Metazoa; Chordata; Aves; Passeriformes; Estrildidae
Source: RefSeq, a predicted model, not a curated record